ACUGCGGGCUACUCCAUCGCUCCGGCUCUCGUGCCGGGGAGGAAAGUCCGGACAACGUAGAGCACCACACCACCUAACGGGUGGGUUCCCGCUUCGGCGGGAAACAGAGAGUGUCGCAGAAAAUAACCGUCCCGAUUCAUCGGGAUAAGGGUGAAAACGUGCGGUAAGAGCGCACGGUGUCCCGGAGCAAUUCGGGAGACGGAUAAACCUUGUGGGUUGAAAUGCCACGUACAUCCCGAUUCCUGCAAAGCGCCUUUUGUGGCGCAAGCGGGAGAUGAGUUGCUCGCUCAGUUCGCCACCCGGCGAGUCGGGAGGGGUAGGCAGAUAGAGGCCGGUGGCGACGCCGGUCCCAGAUAAAUGAUGGAGUCCCGGCUUGCAGGGAUACAGAAUCCGGCUUAUCGGUCCGCAGUGCAU
Molecule: RNase P RNA, 414 nt
Filed under: Saprospiraceae bacterium
Lineage: Bacteria; Pseudomonadati; Bacteroidota; Saprospiria; Saprospirales; Saprospiraceae
Description: RNase P RNA component class A
Rfam family: Bacterial RNase P class A
About the family: Ribonuclease P (RNase P) is a ubiquitous endoribonuclease, found in archaea, bacteria and eukarya as well as chloroplasts and mitochondria. Its best characterised activity is the generation of mature 5'-ends of tRNAs by cleaving the 5'-leader elements of precursor-tRNAs. Cellular RNase Ps are ribonucleoproteins.
Source: RNAcentral